Non-coding RNA from Misgurnus anguillicaudatus (oriental weatherfish), 3221 nucleotides. NCBI's taxonomy places the organism in Eukaryota, Metazoa, Chordata, Actinopteri, Cypriniformes, Cobitidae. The record is from RefSeq and is a predicted model, not a curated record.
CUUGGCCAAUAGAACCUUUUACCAAAAAACGGGUUCCAUAUAGAACCCUUGGAAGGCAAAGAACCAUUUUUAUUAAAAUGGUUCUAUAAUUCACGUUUUGUGACUGAAGUGUAAAAUAAAGAUUACAUAAUAAUUGCAGACCUACACAACUCAUUUACAAACCUACACAACUCAUUCACAAACCUUUUUGUGUCAAUAGGUUGUGGUCAAAUAAAGAGAGAGUCAACAAAUAGGCUACUAAUAUUUAGUGUACACUGUAAAAAAUCCAACUAAUGAAAUGUUGGACGGGCAAAAAUAUAUAAGUUAAACCAAUUUUUUUGUUUGAGCUAGUUGAGAAGAUCUGUGUUUAAAACAUUAAGUGAAUGGUUAUUUUCAAAUCCAGUCAAAAUUCAGAAUGGCUAGUGUUGAGUGAACUAAUUAAGACAAAUCAGGUAAAUAUGUGGACUUAUGACAGCUAUGUUUCCUGACAACAAAAUGCUCAUAAUAUUACUGUUAUUUGGUCACAAAAUGUAAUUGUAAGAGUUGUUCAUGCGUGAAUGUAUGUGCUUAAAGUUUAAAUAUGCGGUCGGUUAAUAAAGAUAGCGUAUAUUUAAAAAUGUGCUCGGACACUUUCGGACGUAGAUGAGCUCCAUAUGAGCUCCAGAAAAUCACAGACACUUAAGCGCUCACACCCCGCCCAGCGCAGCCUCUCCUCGGCAAGCCCAUCAGACUGCUGGCUCUGAUAUCUCUGUGGCGUUUAAACAUGCGAUUUAAUUCAUUUUAAUUUCUCAUACUUAACAAUGAAAGGGUUAUGUUUUAAAUCAUAUUUUAGGAUUGCACUUAAUUGAUAUUGCUGUUGAGUGAUGUUUCAUAUCUUUUACAUUUGUUAUAACCGGACUGCAUGCGAAUUUGAACUUCAGAGCUGAAGGAGCGGGUGGAGAAAUAGUCCCAAUAUCAUAACAAUCUUAAAUAAAACUUCUAAAUAUGCCCGUGUGUGUACCCGUGUGCGCGCGCGCUCGUGCGCGCGACCCGCUCGCGCGCGCUUGUGUAUGUACAGUAUGUGCGUGAGUUUUUAAUUUAAAAUGUCUUAACUUAACUCGGAAGGAUCUGAAUCACAGGUCAUUUCAUCUGAGAUCAUUCCGCAUGUAACAGCCGGAAUCACUCACUGUUUCCCACAACGACACAAGUCAUCAGCCGUUUCCUCAAGGUCACGUCAGAGCGGUGAUGAUGAGAGGCAGACCACCACCAUACGCGAAGAUGAGCCUCGAGGCGUGACAGUUAUUUUUUCAAACUGAGGAGUUCGGACUCCGGACCGGCAUUUCUGCUUGUUUGUACCCUGAGGUCUGGUGAGGAAUGCUGCACUUAUGUUAUUGCAAGCAUUAUUUCAAGAAAAUCCCAGCUUCCUUGACUGUGUAAAUAGUCAUACAGCUCCACAUCAAUUAUUAUGAGUCUUGUUGGUUCGAACCCAAAGGUCCCACACCAACCAUAGUGUUCAACGGCUCUCCUGAUCUUCUCAAAUCUGAAAGUAUCAACUUUAUAAUGGACAAUGUGAACUUAAUAUGUGGAAGACAUUGACAUCACAGGCUGUGGAAUGAUGUGUCACAGGUCGGAGAAGCGGACCGCCCCUGUCGCGGAUCACGCUCCUCCUAGUUCCACCUCGAGGAGGUCCCAAAGCACCCCAAUGACCAGACAAACCAGAGAUAAGUAAAAUAUAGAAAUAAAAACUUUAUUUAAAUUAUUUAAAACUAAAGUGGGGAAUGGGAAAGGGAAUCUAAAAAUCUCGCUUCUCGCCCUCAGGGGGAGUAUUACGGGGCCAGGGACGUUGGAGGGGUUUCCACGUGACUCCAGCUGGAACACCGCUACAGAGCGUAUCUGGGUGGGUUGGGCACACACCGUCGCGGCGGCCCCUGAUGGCAUCCACAAAGGUCCAAGACCCUCCUAAGCUCCUAGCCAUAGCAGAACUACGUAUUUCAGCACCCGAAGGACUAACAACCCAGCCGGCAUCUGCAGCGUAUAUCCAACGCGAUCAAACUUCACUCUGACAAGUAACUUCCUAUACACAACCACGCCGUCCUUUCGCCCGGACCAACCCCGCACUCUUUCCGCCCGCUACCUAGCGGUCGCCGGAUCAGCAGAGCCUGCAGACUCUUCGGAGGCUGGUCUUCGUUGUGCUGCCCAAGGCGGAAGUUGACUCGAAAAUCGACCCUUCCAGUAACUUCUACCUUCUCUCUUUAUAUCCUCCUCCAUGGCGUGGCUCGCCCAACCAUCGCUCGCCACGUCACUCACACAGCUGUGCCUUGUUUCAGCGAGUGCGGGGAUUCCCGGGGAACCCUGAAGUGCCGGUGUCAGUACAAACGGUCCGGGCGGAACCUCUUCACUCUCCUUUUGGUUCCGCCCCGCAUAGUCACUCCGUGACAACUGUUUGCGUUUUUUUUUUCUCCUCAAUGUUCAAUACCCUUUUGCCAUUAAGCACACAGUGACUUUAAUUUAUAAAAUAUAUGCUUAAGUUUUAAUACCUGUACAAAACAAAUGUAAAAUCAACUUGUGUAAAUUGUCAUUCUAUUUAAUAGAUUGUUCAUGAAUUGUCUUUAAAUGCAUUGUGAUUUCGGUAACACUUUACAAUAAAGUUCAUUAGUUAACAUUAGUUAAUGUAUUAACUAACUUGAACAAACCAUAAGCAAUACAUUUGUUACAGUAUUUAUUCAUCUUUGUUAAUGUUAGUUAAUAAAAAUUUAAGCUUUAAUUGCUUGUUCAUGUUAGUUCAGAGUGCAUUAACUAAUGUUAACAAGAUUUUAAUAAAGUAAUUGUUGAAAUUAACAUUAACAAAGAUUAAUAAAGGCUGUUCAUUAUUAGUUCAUGUUAACUAAUGUAGCUAACUAAUGUUAACUAAUGAACCUUAUUUUAAAGUGUUACCGUGAUUUCUUUUCAUCAUUUCAGACACAUGUAAAAGUUACUAAAAAUUAGUACUGCAUAUACUGUACAGUAUCUAUGCGUAAGGGAAAUAACUUGAAAUUUUUAAUGUAUAGUGUAAUUAAGAGUUUAGCUGUUUAAUACAGAGAUGCAAUUUAUUUAUAUAUAUUAUUUAUAUAUAAACGUAUGUAUGUUUAUUAAAAAGUGAAAAUGCUUAAUGGAAAUAAUUAAAUAACUAAAUGGUUGAAUGUAAUGAGACAUUUUAAAUGUAAACUAAAGUUUUGCUGUCUAAUACAGAAUAAAGAGAUGUGAUUUUAAGUAAUUUUUAUAGA